RNAcentral lists this ribosomal RNA (400 nucleotides) under phytoplankton environmental sample. RNAcentral's name for it is "partial small subunit ribosomal RNA". It matches the Rfam family "Eukaryotic small subunit ribosomal RNA", at positions 587 to 988 of the family's 1831-position model. The record is from RNAcentral.
AGCUCCAUUAGCGUAUAUUAAAGUUGUUGCAGUUAAAAAGCUCGUAGUUGGAUUUCGGUUCGGGUCGGGGCGGUGGCGUCGCGAGACGUCUACCUCCCGGCCAGUCUCUCUUCCCGAAGACUGCGUGUGCUCUUCAGUGGGUGCGCGUCGGGACUCGGGACGUUUACUUUGAAAAAAUUAGAGUGCUCAAAGCAGGCUACAAAGCUUGAAUAUUUGUGCAUGGAAUAAUGGAAUAGGAAGUCGUUUCUAUUUUUUUGGUUUUCGGAAAUUGACUUAAUGAUUAAUAGGGACAGCCGGGGGCAUUAGUACUCAGACGACAGAGGUGAAAUUCUUGGACCGUUUGAGGACUAACUACUGCGAAAGCAUUUGCCAAGAGUGUUUUCAUUAAUCAAGAACGAAA